AUUGAACGCUGGCGGCAUGCCUUACACAUGCAAGUCGAACGGCAGCACGGGUGCUUGCACCUGGUGGCGAGUGGCGAACGGGUGAGUAAUACAUCGGAACAUGUCCUGUAGGGGGGGAUAGCCCGGCGAAAGCCGGAUUAAUACCGCAUACGAUCUACGGAUGAAAGCGGGGGACCUUCGGGCCUCGCGCUAUAGGGUUGGCCGAUGGCUGAUUAGCUAGUUGGUGGGGUAAAGGCCAACCAAGGCGACGAUCAGUAGCUGGUCUGAGAGGACGACCAGCCACACUGGGACUGAGACACGGCCCAGACUCCUACGGGAGGCAGCAGUGGGGAAUUUUGGACAAUGGGCGAAAGCCUGAUCCAGCAAUGCCGCGUGUGUGAAGAAGGCCUUCGGGUUGUAAAGCACUUUUGUCCGGAAAGAAAUCCUUGGCCCUAAUACGGUCGGGGGAUGACGGUACCGGAAGAAUAAGCACCGGCUAACUACGUG
RNAcentral lists this ribosomal RNA (486 nucleotides) under uncultured bacterium. RNAcentral's name for it is "partial 16S ribosomal RNA". It matches the Rfam family "Bacterial small subunit ribosomal RNA", at positions 30 to 507 of the family's 1533-position model. The record is from RNAcentral.